Molecule: non-coding RNA, 25 nt
Filed under: Mus musculus (house mouse)
Lineage: Eukaryota; Metazoa; Chordata; Mammalia; Rodentia; Muridae
Source: RNAcentral
UAAAUACUUGUAGGCAAUGAUCAAU